CCUACGGGUGGCAGCAGUGGGGAAUAUUGGACAAUGGGCGAAAGCCUGAUCCAGCCAUGCCGCGUGUGUGAAGAAGGCCUUCGGGUUGUAAAGCACUUUCAGUGGGGAAGAAAGUCUUGGGGCUAAUACCCUCGAGGAAGGACAUCACCCACAGAAGAAGCACCGGCUAACUCCGUGCCAGCAGCCGCGGUAAUACGGAGGGUGCGAGCGUUAAUCGGAAUUACUGGGCGUAAAGCGCGCGUAGGCGGUCUGAUAAGCCGGUUGUGAAAGCCCCGGGCUCAACCUGGGAACGGCAUCCGGAACUGUCAGGCUAGAGUGCAGGAGAGGAAGGUAGAAUUCCCGGUGUAGCGGUGAAAUGCGUAGAGAUCGGGAGGAAUACCAGUGGCGAAGGCGGCCUUCUGGACUGACACUGACGCUGAGGUGCGAAAGCGUGGGUAGCAAACAGGAUUAGAUACCCGUGUAGUC
Molecule: ribosomal RNA, 465 nt
Filed under: Vreelandella stevensii
Lineage: Bacteria; Pseudomonadati; Pseudomonadota; Gammaproteobacteria; Oceanospirillales; Halomonadaceae
Description: partial 16S ribosomal RNA
Rfam family: Bacterial small subunit ribosomal RNA
Source: RNAcentral